Molecule: ribosomal RNA, 756 nt
Filed under: uncultured bacterium
Lineage: Bacteria
Description: bacterial SSU rRNA
Rfam family: Bacterial small subunit ribosomal RNA
Source: RNAcentral
UUAGAGUUUGAUCCUGGCUCAGGAUGAACGCUAGCGGCAGGCUUAAUACAUGCAAGUCGAGGGGCAGCGGGGUAGCAAUACCGCCGGCGACCGGCAAACGGGUGCGGAACACGUACAGAACCUCCCUUUAAGCGGGGAAUAGCCCGAAGAAAUUCGGAUUAAUACCCCAUAGUAAUAUUUAGUGGCAUCAUUAGAUAUUUAAAGAUUUAUCACUUAGAGAUGGCUGUGCGGCUGAUUAGGUAGUUGGUGUAGGUAAAGGCUCACCAAGCCUUCGAUCAGUAACUGGUGUGAGAGCACGACCAGUCACACGGGCACUGAGACACGGGCCCGACUCCUACGGGAGGCAGCAGUAAGGAAUAUUGGUCAAUGGACGCAAGUCUGAACCAGCCAUGCCGCGUGAAGGAUGAAGGUCCUCUGGAUUGUAAACUUCUUUUAUAUGGGACGAAAUGCAUUUUUUCUAAAAUGUUUGACGGUACCAUAGGAAUAAGCACCGGCUAACUCCGUGCCAGCAGCCGCGGUAAUACGGAGGGUGCAAGCGUUAUCCGGAUUCACUGGGUUUAAAGGGUGCGUAGGUGGGUCUGUAAGUCAGUGGUGAAAUCUCCGGGCUUAACCCGUAAAUUGCCGUUGAUACUAUAGGUCUUGAAUCUUCUGGAGGUUAGCGGAAUAUGUCAUGUAGCGGUGAAAUGCUUAGAUAUGACAUAGAACACCAAUUGCGAAGGCAGCUAACUACGGGGCAUUGACACUGAGGCACGAAAG